CCUACGGGUGGCAGCAGUGGGGAAUAUUUGGCAAUGGAGGAAACUCUGACCCAGCAACGCCGCGUGAAUGAUGAAGGUCUUCGGAUUGUAAAGUUCUUUUCUAAGGGAAGAAGAAAGUGACGGUACCUUAGGAAUAAGCCUCGGCUAACUACGUGCCAGCAGCCGCGGUAAUACGUAGGAGGCAAGCGUUAUCCGGAAUGACUGGGCGUAAAGGGUGCGUAAGUGGUUUGACAAGUUGGUAGCGUAACUCCGAGGCUUAACCUCGGCACUAUUACCAAAACUGGGAGACUUGAGUGCAGAAGAGGAGAGUGGAACUCCAUGUGUAGCGGUGAAAUGCGUAGAUAUAUGGAAGAACACCAGUGGCGAAAGCGGCUCUCUGGUCUGUAACUGAUGCUGAGGUUCGAAAGCGUGGGUAGCAAACAGGAUUAGAUACCCCUGUAGUC
This 443-nucleotide ribosomal RNA is filed under the name uncultured bacterium. RNAcentral describes it as "partial 16S ribosomal RNA". It matches the Rfam family "Bacterial small subunit ribosomal RNA", at positions 338 to 795 of the family's 1533-position model. The record is from RNAcentral.